AUACGUAGGUGGCGAGCGUUGUCCGGAUUUACUGGGCGUAAAGGAUGCGUAGGCGGAUGUUUAAGUCAGAUGUGAAAAUCCCGAGCUUAACUUGGGAACUGCAUUUGAAACUGGAUAUCUAGAGUGCAGGAGAGGAGAAUGGAAUUCCUAGUGUAGCGGUGAAAUGCGUAGAGAUUAGGAAGAACACCAGUGGCGAAGGCGAUUCUCUGGACCGUAACUGACGCUGAGGCAUGAAAGCGUGGGUAGC
This 247-nucleotide ribosomal RNA is filed under the name uncultured bacterium. RNAcentral's name for it is "partial 16S ribosomal RNA". It matches the Rfam family "Bacterial small subunit ribosomal RNA", at positions 523 to 769 of the family's 1533-position model. The record is from RNAcentral.